This 200-nucleotide ribosomal RNA is filed under the name uncultured bacterium. RNAcentral describes it as "partial 16S ribosomal RNA". It matches the Rfam family "Bacterial small subunit ribosomal RNA", at positions 8 to 210 of the family's 1533-position model. The record is from RNAcentral.
AGAGUUUGAUCCUGGCUCAGGACGAACGCUGGCGGCGUGCUUAACACAUGCAAGUCGAGCGGAAAGGCCCUUCGGGGUACUCGAGCGGCGAACGGGUGAGUAACACGUGAGGAACCUGCCCUUAACUCUGGGAUAGCUUCGGGAAACCGGAAUUAAUACCGGAUAUGACUAACGUCGGCAUCGACGGUAGUGGAAAGAUU